This 24-nucleotide non-coding RNA is filed under the name Cricetulus griseus (Chinese hamster). Lineage: Eukaryota; Metazoa; Chordata; Mammalia; Rodentia; Cricetidae. The record is from RNAcentral.
GACAAGGACUUAGUAGAAGCUUUG